Molecule: ribosomal RNA, 495 nt
Filed under: uncultured bacterium
Lineage: Bacteria
Description: partial 16S ribosomal RNA
Rfam family: Bacterial small subunit ribosomal RNA
Source: RNAcentral
GACGAACGCUGGCGGCGUGCCUAAUACAUGCAAGUAGAACGCUGAAGGAGGAGCUUGCUUCUCUGGAUGAGUUGCGGACGGGUGAGUAACGCGUAGGUAACCUGCCUGGUAGCGGGGGAUAACUAUUGGAAACGAUAGCUAAUACCGCAUAAUAGUAGAUGUUGCAUGACAUUUACUUAAAAGGUGCAAUUGCAUCACUACCAGAUGGACCUGCGUUGUAUUAGCUAGUUGGUGGGGUAACGGCUCACCAAGGCGACGAUACAUAGCCGACCUGAGAGGGUGAUCGGCCACACUGGGACUGAGACACGGCCCAGACUCCUACGGGAGGCAGCAGUAGGGAAUCUUCGGCAAUGGACGAAAGUCUGACCGAGCAACGCCGCGUGAGUGAAGAAGGUUUUCGGAUCGUAAAGCUCUGUUGUAAGAGAAGAACGAGUGUGAGAGUGGAAAGUUCACACUGUGACGGUAUCUUACCAGAAAGGGACGGCUAACUACGUG